Molecule: long non-coding RNA, 1599 nt
Filed under: Marmota monax (woodchuck)
Lineage: Eukaryota; Metazoa; Chordata; Mammalia; Rodentia; Sciuridae
Source: RNAcentral
CAGGACAAACUCUUCCAAACGAUAAUAGGGAAUCUCUUGUCCUUGUGUUACCAACUGGUGCAAAGGUCAGGUAGGAUCAAAUCCAGGGGUGUCGAUGCUGAUGGAUCCCCAGGUGGUGAAGAUCAUACACAGAGAGGACAGCCCUGCCUGUCUGGCCCAGCAGUCAUUCCUAGGGGGACAGCUCCAGACAGCCUUGAAAUCAGAGCCUAUUGUUGCUCAGAAGUGUUGGGUCCCACGUGCCCAGACUCACACCAUCAGUUUGGCAAGUUCAUUUUAUUUUCAUUCAUUUAAUCGCUUCUGUCAGCUGUUUGUUUUACGAGGAGUUAGUUUCAUUAGCGCUACCAAAGCCCACGUGCUAACCCAGCGCACUGGAGCCUCAGGCUGAUAUCAGUUUUUCCUCCAGUGUAUCAGGCAGAGCAGAAAGCAUAUAAAGCCCUCCUGGCAUGUGCUGCCCAGCAUGGACUAGCAAGUUCAUUAAGCCUUCAUCUGUAACCGUGUCACUUCCUUAGGUAAAAGCUACUGCUGGCUCCCUGUUGGUCUGCAGGAAAUGCCAAGCUCAUGGGCGUGACACAGUCUGGCCCUCGCUGCCCUGGCAGGUGCCUCUCCAGCUGCCCGUCUGGACCUCCUCUCCACACAAGGGCUAGCAACCUACCCCACCUGAAGCUGCAGGAACGAACCAUACACUCUCUGGGCUCUGUUCUUUGUUCAUGCUUUUCUCUCACGUUGGAGCGACGGUUCUCAUUGCCUGACCCCCUUUGCUUAUCUCUGCUCAGCAACCUCCUAUGCACUCGCCAAAGCCCAGCUCGAAUGCCCACGCUCCUCAGUAACGUUCCCUGGCUUCCUCCUUUCCUUUAGGUUAGAAUGCAUGGGCAGACAGCAGCUGCCAUCAGCAUCCCACCCUCCUCUCCUUGGCGCUUACCAUGUUUGUCUAUGCCACCAUGACUUCUGAUUGCCAGCGCCCACGGUCCUUUAUCUGGGGACUUUCUCUGUUGGCCCUCUCUGCCCAUGAACAGGGUAGAUUGUGCCAGGCAUUAUGUCUGUAGAGCAGCUGAUGGUCCCUCAGCCUCUGGGUGGGUUCUUUCUGAGGUGCAUAUUCUACAGUGACCCCCAAAGGUUUCCAGUGGAACCCGAAUCUGCUGUCCACAGUAGAAACUAGUAAUAGUGCCCUGGAGGCUCCCUAACCUUCCCUGCGGGGCUUUCCCAAUUUUACAUCAAUGACUUACAUCAAUCACUUCCCAAAUAAUCUCUUUGUAGCUGAAUCUUUGCUUGCAGGGUCUGCUUCUGGGGGAAUCCCAACUAAAGCCAACCUCAUCUGACUGUGUGGGUUCUCUGUAAGUCUAUCACCGUCCCUAGUGUAUUAUAUUUGUGCUGCCUCCACCAUGACCUCCAUGAGGACAGGAACCCUCAGCGUGCCCAGGCUUAGUGCAGUGCCUAGAGCUCACUGGGUGCUCAUCCUCUAGUCGAUGAUCUUGGAGUCACCUUCCUAAUUCUGAAGUGUUUUAAGUUCUCACGGAGCUGGUCGAGCUUAAGCGUCCUUCUUGCACCAACGAGUGGAAUGGCCAGAUCACUUUGGCAUCUUUGCCCACUGUGGACUCCGCC